CCAUAACAAAAUAUCACCCUGAACACACACACAUACCAUCCUCAUCAGGUUUAGGAAGCUAAGCAGGGCCAGGGCUGGUUAGAUCUUGGAUGGGUGACCCCCAGGGAACAUCAUCGAUCUCCAGGU
RNAcentral lists this ribosomal RNA (126 nucleotides) under Pogona vitticeps (central bearded dragon). Lineage: Eukaryota; Metazoa; Chordata; Lepidosauria; Squamata; Agamidae. The record is from RNAcentral.